This 669-nucleotide ribosomal RNA is filed under the name uncultured fungus. RNAcentral describes it as "eukaryotic LSU rRNA". It matches the Rfam family "Eukaryotic large subunit ribosomal RNA", at positions 24 to 664 of the family's 3401-position model. Lineage: Eukaryota; Fungi. The record is from RNAcentral.
CCCGCUGAACUUAAGCAUAUCAAUAAGCGGAGGAAAAGAAACUAACAAGGAUUCCCCUAGUAACUGCGAGUGAAGCGGGAAAAGCUCAAAUUUAAAAUCUGGCGGUCCCAUGGGCCGUCCGAGUUGUAAUCUGGAGAAGCGUUUUCCGCGUCGGACCGUGUACAAGUCUUCUGGAACGGAGCGUCAUAGAGGGUGAGAAUCCCGUCUUUGGCAUGGAUGCACCAGGGCUUCUGUGAUGCGCUCUCAAAGAGUCGAGUUGUUUGGGAAUGCAGCUCAAAAUGGGUGGUGAACUCCAUCUAAAGCUAAAUAUUGGCGAGAGACCGAUAGCGAACAAGUACCGUGAGGGAAAGAUGAAAAGCACUUUGGAAAGAGAGUGAAACAGUACGUGAAAUUGUUGAAAGGGAAACGCUUGAAGUCAGUCGCGUCGACCGAGACUCAGCCUCGCCUUGGCUUGGUGUACUUCUCGGCUGACGGGUCAGUGUCAAUUUUGGGCCUCGGAUAAUGACAAGGGAAAGGUGGCACCUUUAUAGGUGUGUUAUAGUCUCCUGUCGGAUGCGAGGGUCGGGAUUGAGGAACUCAGCACGCGCCUUUUGGUGUCGGGGCUUCGGCCUACGCUACGUGCUUAGGAUGCUGGCAUAAUGGCUUUAAACGACCCGUCUUGAAACACGG